RNAcentral lists this ribosomal RNA (467 nucleotides) under uncultured bacterium. RNAcentral's name for it is "partial 16S ribosomal RNA". It matches the Rfam family "Bacterial small subunit ribosomal RNA", at positions 28 to 506 of the family's 1533-position model. The record is from RNAcentral.
GACGAACGCUGGCGGCGUGCUUAACACAUGCAAGUCGAACGGAAAGGCCCUGCUUUUGUGGGGUGCUCGAGUGGCGAACGGGUGAGUAACACGUGAGUAACCUGCCCUUGACUUUGGGAUAACUUCAGGAAACUGGGGCUAAUACCGGAUAGGAGCUCCUGCUGCAUGGUGGGGGUUGGAAAGUUUCGGCGGUUGGGGAUGGACUCGCGGCUUAUCAGCUUGUUGGUGGGUUAGUGGCUUACCAAGGCUUUGACGGGUAGCCGGCCUGAGAGGGUGACCGGCCACAUUGGGACUGAGAUACGGCCCAGACUCCUACGGGAGGCAGCAGUGGGGAAUAUUGCACAAUGGGCGGAAGCCUGAUGCAGCAACGCCGCGUGCGGGAUGACGGCCUUCGGGUUGUAAACCGCUUUCGCCUGUGACGAAGCGUGAGUGACGGUAAUGGGUAAAGAAGCACCGGCUAACUACGG